AGAGUUUGAUCAUGGCUCAGGACGAACGCUGGCGGCGUGCUUAACACAUGCAAGUCAAGGGGGCCCUGCAAUGGGCAACCGGCGAACGGGUGCGUAACACGUGAGCAACCUACCGAACUGUGGGGGAUAGCCGGCCUAACGGCCGAGUAAUACCGCAUACGCUUUCAAUGAGGCAUUUCAUUGAAAGGAAACCUACGGGACAGAUCGAGGGGCUCGCGGCCUAUCAGCUAGUUGGCAAGGUAACGGCUCACCAAGGCAACGACGGGUAGCUGGUCUGAGAGGAUGGCCAGCCACAUUGGGACUGAGAUACGGCCCAGACUCCUACGGGAGGCAGCAGUGGGGAAUCUUGCGCAAUGGCCUAACGGCUGACGCAGCGACGCCGCGUGUGGGAUGAAGCUCCUCGGAGUGUAAACCACUGUUGCCCGGGACGAAUAGCUCGAUUAAUCGAGCCUGACGGUACCGGGUGAGGAAGCACCGGCUAACUCCGUGCCAGCAGCCGCGGUAAUACGGGGGGUGCGAGCGUUGUCCGGAAUCACUGGGCGUAAAGGGCGCGUAGGUGGUUUGAUAAGGGUGUGGUGAAAGUCCGGGGCUCAACCCCGGAUCUGCCGUGCCGACUGUCAAACUCGAGGGCUGUAGAGGCAGGCGGAAUUCCGGGUGUAGCGGUGGAAUGCGUAGAGAUCCGGAGGAAGACCGGUGGCGAAGGCGGCCUGCUGGGCAGUUUCUGACACUGAUGCGCGACAGCGUGGGGAGCAAACAGGAUUAGAUACCCUAGUAGUCC
Molecule: ribosomal RNA, 778 nt
Filed under: uncultured bacterium
Lineage: Bacteria
Description: bacterial SSU rRNA
Rfam family: Bacterial small subunit ribosomal RNA
Source: RNAcentral